AUCCUUUCCCUCCCAUUUCAACUUUUCCCUCUAAACUCUCCAUUUUCUCUCCUCUGCUCAACCCCUGUGUGAAGCUAUCGCUCUUGUUAGAAUUGAUCAUGGUGAAAAUCCUUCAUUCCCAUGAAAAGCAAUGCGAUUGAGGUCGAUCAUGGAGGACGACUAUCUGGAUAGCAAGUUCGUCUGCAUUCCAAGAGGAGAUUAAGGAGCUUGAGAGUACUGAGACUCAAAAGAGGGAACAAGAAGAGAAGUUGAGAAGGGAAUAGGAAGAAGUUGUGAGAAGGGAACACAAUGAAGUUGCGAGAAGGUUACUUUGGCUUAAUAAUCUGUAAACUCUUAUAUAAAUUCUGGUGAAAUUGCUAGUGCUUCUCCAUUCUUUUUUGUCAUUUAUUUGACUUGUUCUGUUAAAAGGACCUAAGUGAUGUACAAUUAGCAAGUACCUCAAAAGCAAAAUAAUUACAAUAAAAAAAUAUGGCAAAAGGAUCUAAGUGAUGUACAAAUGAUUCAACUAAUAAAGAGAAAAAAAAGCGGGAAAAUAACGAAAGAAAAAGGAAAAAAAUUACAAAAAAUCUAGUAAAAAACACAAAAAAUAGACGCAAGCACCUAGUUGAUGUAUCAUUCUCUACUUAAUGAUGGGACAUACAUAAUGUAACAUAAGGACUUAACUGAUAUAGUAAAAUCAUCAAUUUGAUAUGUCAUGAACUUCAGGGUCUUUACUAAUGUACUAAAGAACUUAUUUGAUAUAGCAAAUGACUUAAUUGAUGUAGAAAAUGAAUGAUUUGAUGCAGCAAAAUAUUAAUUUGAUAUAGCAAAAUGACCUAACUGAUGUAAAAAUGGUCAAAUUGAUACAAGUAUCAUAACUCUGGAAUCUAAGUGAUGAAAAAAUUAAUUCAAGAACCUAAAUGACGUAAACCUGAUAAUUCAGGAAUCAAAUUGUCAGUUUAUUCAAAAACAAAAUUUAACAAAAAAUGGGGGGAGAAAUAAAAGAUAAAUAAGAAAAACAAAAAGCCACAACGGGACUAGCGCGGCAGGGAGAUUGAGAUUAGACUUGAAGUGGGAGAAGCGGCGCAGUCUCCAUCCAUCUCGAGGGAAUGGACGAUCCUGAUUUCGUCCCUGUUCCCGAGAAAAUCAGAAGGGACGACUGAAGGUGGGGGGAGGGGAGAGGAGAGGAGAGAGAGGAGGGGGGGUGGGGCAGGGAUGACGUCAGAUGGAAGGCGACUCCGACGCGCCCCUUAAACAGAGACGUGUCAAAGAAAGCGUGCCAGUAGGGCCCACCCAUGACCGUCUGAGGUCCCCUCACAGUGCGGGAGGUAAAAAUUGGAAGAACGGAAAGUCUGAUGUGGACUUCGGUGGUGGGCCCAUGCUCCCCUAAUAACUUUCUGGGCCCACCAGUUCACUAGGAUCCACGUCAUGAUGAGGAACAUUGUACAAUGAUGCUUCGAGAAGAAUUAUUUUGAGGGUGACCCGAGCUCAAUGGCUUCUUCCCUUGGUACCGACGCUCUGCUAACCACAAAUCUCACUCGAAUAUCCAAGUUAGGUUUCAUUGGUCAGGGAGCUAGGCACUCCCAUGAUGAUCCGUAAAGUCCAUCGAUUUAUGCUACCCUAGAUCCGCUCCGACGGAGACCCCGUUACGUCGGCCACAGCUACGGCUCUGCUCACCUGCAAGAAACGGAGCAUGAGAACGGUCAGGAGAUGCCCAUGUCCUUCCACUUCGCUAGAUCUCCAUUCAAUGGUCUGCGGCGGAUCAAGUCUUUCACCCUUUACUUCGGCAACUCUUCCGUAGAGCCAGUCGCAACUUCCCCUCUGACCACUGAUAGCAACCACCACCUUGAAAAGCCCAUCGAUGUUAUCUUUCUCCGGAGAAGGAUGAGGAGGAGAUUAGGUGAGGAUUCAGAAGGAUAGCGAAGUAAGAUUGAAGAUCAUCGGGACUCGUGUUGAUGCCACAUAAAUCGUAUGCACCUUUUAUCUAAUCUUGAGAAUUUAUCUACGUAGAAGGGUAGAGGAGGAACAGAGGGAGAACUUGAAGAAUAAAAUUCGAGUGUAAAAAGAGAGAUGAAGCUUCAGGGACAAAGGACAAGAAUGACGUGAAGCAUAAAAUUCAAAAAGAACUAGAGACACGGAGAACCAAUUCAAGAUGAAGUUGUUGCAGAACAAGUAUAAAUUUGUUUCAUAAGUAUUUGUCUUUGUCGAGUCUUGGAACCGUGUAAUUCUUAAAUUAUUAUGUGAUGACUUUGAGCAUAAUUAUUUGGGUUGUCAAUUUGAUUCAUGUAUAAUUUAUAUUUGUCCAUAUUGCUACUGGCCGACGGCUUGUUGAUA
Molecule: non-coding RNA, 2313 nt
Organism: Punica granatum (pomegranate)
Lineage: Eukaryota; Viridiplantae; Streptophyta; Magnoliopsida; Myrtales; Lythraceae
Source: RefSeq, a predicted model, not a curated record